UCGAACGAAGCGAUCAGGAGGAAGUUUUCGGAUGGAAUCCGGAUUGACUGAGUGGCGGACGGGUGAGUAACGCGUGGGUAACCUGCCUCAUACAGGGGGAUAACAGUUAGAAAUGACUGCUAAUACCGCAUAAGCGCACAGGGACACAUGUUCCGGUGUGAAAAACUCCGGUGGUAUGAGAUGGACCCGCGUCUGAUUAGCUGGUUGGCGGGGUAACGGCCCACCAAGGCGACGAUCAGUAGCCGACCUGAGAGGGUGACCGGCCACAUUGGGACUGAGACACGGCCCAAACUCCUACGGGAGGCAGCAGUGGGGAAUAUUGCACAAUGGGGGAAACCCUGAUGCAGCAACGCCGCGUGAGUGAAGAAGUAUUUCGGUAUGUAAAGCUCUAUCAGCAGGGAAGAAGAUGACGGUACCUGAGUAAGAAGCCCCGGCUAACUACGUGCCAGCAGCCGCGGUAAUACGUAGGGGGCAAGCGUUAUCCGGAUUUACUGGGUGUAAAGGGAGCGUAGACGGUGAGACAAGUCUGAAGUGAAAGCCCGGGGCUCAACCCCGGGACUGCUUUGGAAACUGCCUGACUGGAGUGCUGGAGAGGCAAGCGGAAUUCCUAGUGUAGCGGUGAAAUGCGUAGAUAUUAGGAAGAACACCAGUGGCGAAGGCGGCUUGCUGGACAGUAACUGACGUUGAGGCUCGAAAGCGUGGGGAGC
Molecule: ribosomal RNA, 707 nt
Filed under: uncultured bacterium
Lineage: Bacteria
Description: bacterial SSU rRNA
Rfam family: Bacterial small subunit ribosomal RNA
Source: RNAcentral